This 211-nucleotide long non-coding RNA is filed under the name Amborella trichopoda. RNAcentral describes it as "long non-coding RNA (ATRI_LNC004974)". The record is from RNAcentral. Lineage: Eukaryota; Viridiplantae; Streptophyta; Magnoliopsida; Amborellales; Amborellaceae.
CCCAUACAUGCGAUCCACCUUCCUAAUCUCUUUAUUUUAGGAAUGAGAUAGUUUAUCUUUUUUUUGAGUAAAUCAGUGGGGAAGUCAGACCCCUACCCUUUUUUUCAAGUAGAUUAGGAGUUAGCUUUUUGAAGGUAUUAGUAGGGAUGUUGGUACGUAUGGGUGGCCAUGGGGCCCUCUUACGUGUUUUUUUUUCUCUCUUUAAUCUUUA